RNAcentral lists this transfer RNA (59 nucleotides) under Nicotiana sylvestris (wood tobacco). It matches the Rfam family "tRNA", at positions 5 to 66 of the family's 71-position model. From Rfam's summary of the family: Transfer RNA (tRNA) molecules are approximately 80 nucleotides in length. Their secondary structure includes four short double-helical elements and three loops (D, anti-codon, and T loops). Further hydrogen bonds mediate the characteristic L-shaped molecular structure. tRNAs have two regions of fundamental functional importance: the anti-codon, which is responsible for specific mRNA codon recognition, and the 3' end, to which the tRNAs corresponding amino acid is attached (by aminoacyl-tRNA synthetases). tRNAs cope with the degeneracy of the genetic code in two manners: having more than one tRNA (with a specific anti-codon) for a particular amino acid; and 'wobble' base-pairing, i.e. permitting non-standard base-pairing at the 3rd anti-codon position. Lineage: Eukaryota; Viridiplantae; Streptophyta; Magnoliopsida; Solanales; Solanaceae. The record is from Rfam by way of RNAcentral. RNAcentral also lists the same sequence under 1 other name.
AUGUAGUGGUUAUCACGUCAGUCUUACACACUGAAGGUCCCCAGUUCCAUCCUGGGCAU